GAUGAACGCUGGCGGCGUGCCUAAUACAUGCAAGUCGAGCGAACAGAUGAGGAGCUUGCUCCUCUGACGUUAGCGGCGGACGGGUGAGUAACACGUGGAUAACCUACCUAUAAGACUGGGAUAACUUCGGGAAACCGGAGCUAAUACCGGAUAAUAUAUUGAACCGCAUGGUUCAAUAGUGAAAGACGGUUUUGCUGUCACUUAUAGAUGGAUCCGCGCCGCAUUAGCUAGUUGGUAAGGUAACGGCUUACCAAGGCAACGAUGCGUAGCCGACCUGAGAGGGGGAUCGGCCACACUGAAACUGAGACACGGUCCAGACUCCUACGGGAGGCAGCAGUAGGGAAUCUUCCGCAAUGGGCGAAAGCCUGACGGAGCAACGCCGCGUGAGUGAUGAAGGUCUUCGGAUCGUAAAACUCUGUUAUUAGGGAAGAACAAAUGUGUAAGUAACUAUGCACGUCUUGACGGUACCUAAUCAGAAAGCCACGGCUAACUACGUG
This 497-nucleotide ribosomal RNA is filed under the name uncultured bacterium. Its description in RNAcentral is "partial 16S ribosomal RNA". It matches the Rfam family "Bacterial small subunit ribosomal RNA", at positions 28 to 507 of the family's 1533-position model. The record is from RNAcentral.